Molecule: long non-coding RNA, 806 nt
Organism: Homalodisca vitripennis (glassy-winged sharpshooter)
Lineage: Eukaryota; Metazoa; Arthropoda; Insecta; Hemiptera; Cicadellidae
Exons: 3
Source: RefSeq, a predicted model, not a curated record
UUAAUUUACUCAUUUCGCUUUAAAAUAAACUAUUUGCAAUCUUGUAACUAGCAGUAGUAAUUUAAGAUAAUUGGCCAGUGAUGUAAUAGUGGCUUGAAAGAUAGUAUAUCAUUAGAAGUAUGAACAAAUUGACAAAAUUAUCUCAGUAAUUAAACACAAGAUCUUGUGGGUUUUACAUUCAUAUGUAUUGCUAUUCAGUUGACCAAAUCUUGGCUAAUAGAGCUUCAAGUUGAGAGUGAACGAGCCAAGAAGUCAAAACUGUGUCUGAUUCUAUUGUUAAGAAAGGUCACAGAUGUUGGUAAACAUUCCAUUAAAGGGUUAACUGUCUAAAUUAGUCCACAAGUCAGUUGCUCCGCGUUCGCCAUGAAGCCGGAACUGCAGAUGUUCUUUCUUGUCACCUUGGUCUCAGUUGGUAUCUUCUCCAACUUGAGGACUUCCACAGCUCUCCCAGAGGCCCUGCCCAGCCCACCAACACAGGCUGCUCGGAAUAUCUCAGACUUAUGGACUCGUCUUCAGGCCGCCCGUACUAAUACCCACACUGCAGAACUCAUUCGUGUACCAAAAAGGUCUUGUAGACCUGGAGAGAGAUUUGCAUAUGGCAGAUGUCGCCGCCAGUGGUGAUGAUUACACACAAGAUUAUAAAUUUUGCACCGAUGACACUAGGUAGCAGUAGGUUACUUUAUUACUAUGAUAUGUAACUAAACAAUAUUUUAACUGUUUAUUGGAUUGUAAUCAAAGUAUAAUAUUUAACUAUGAUAUAUUGUACUAUUUGAACACAAAUAUGUAUUAAAAGUUUGUUAUUAUUA